UACGUAGGGUGCAAGCGUUGUCCGGAAUUAUUGGGCGUAAAGAGCUCGUAGGCGGUUUGUCGCGUCUGCUGUGAAAACUCGGGGCUUAACCCCGGGCCUGCAGUGGGUACGGGCAGACUAGAGUGCGGUAGGGGAGACUGGAAUUCCUGGUGUAGCGGUGAAAUGCGCAGAUAUCAGGAGGAACACCAGUGGCGAAGGCGGCUGCCUGGACCUUUGCUGACGCUAAUGCGCGAAAGCGUGGGGAGCGAUCCGG
Molecule: ribosomal RNA, 253 nt
Filed under: uncultured bacterium
Lineage: Bacteria
Description: partial 16S ribosomal RNA
Rfam family: Bacterial small subunit ribosomal RNA
Source: RNAcentral